UACGUAGGGUGCAAGCGUUGUCCGGAAUCACUGGGCGUAAAGCGCGUGUAGGCGGCCCGGUAAGUCCGCUGUGAAAGUCCAGGGCUCAACCCUGGGAUGCCGGUGGAUACUGUCGGGCUCGAGUCCGGAAGAGGCGAGUGGAAUUCCUGGUGUAGCGGUGAAAUGCGCAGAUAUCAGGAGGAACACCAAUGGCGAAGGCAGCUCGCUGGGACGUGACUGACGCUGAGACGCGAAAGCGUGGGGAGCAAACAGG
RNAcentral lists this ribosomal RNA (253 nucleotides) under uncultured bacterium. RNAcentral describes it as "partial 16S ribosomal RNA". It matches the Rfam family "Bacterial small subunit ribosomal RNA", at positions 524 to 776 of the family's 1533-position model. The record is from RNAcentral.